UGUCCUUGAUUAGUGAGGGUGGGUUUUCCUGUAAAUAAUGAAAACAACUUCUCCCUCUGAGACCAAGCCCUGGCAGGGUCUCCAGAUGCCCCAUUCAGACUUAGCACUGCCUAGAUAGUAGACAAAGUCUGAGUUCAUCCCUUCACUGGUCUCCGAGAUCCAGGAGGUCAGGGAGCAUCCCCUACUUUCCAAAUUCAGUCCCAGCUUACCUUCUCCACUGGACCCCUGGUGGCCCCAUGUCACACCACAGUGUCCCAGUAUCCCCGUCUACACAUGCUUGUUAUAUCUUCUGACUCACUGUGCAAUCUGUUACCUAAGAUGUUAUCAGUUCUCCUGCCUAAGCAUAUAUGCUCCAUUAGGAGAAAGAUUUGUCUUCAUUGCUUUUGUCCUCACUUUCUAGAAGGGAGUGUAGCAAGCACCCUAAAUCCAGAGAGGCUCAGCUAUAACAUGAGCUCUCUGUCCACAGAGCAUCACACAGACUGCUUGGCAAACUGGCAGCCCCAGCUCCUGCACCGUGCACCCUGUAGAGACAAGAUGCAGCUCAGACCUACAAGGGACCUAUCCAUAAGUGUUUUGACUUUGGAGAAAUUGUUAGUCAGUUUUGUUGUUGUUGUUGCCUUGGUUGUUCCCUCUCUCUUUUCGAACUCUAACUUCCAGUCAGAGCAAAUUCUAAAACUUGGGGAAAGCGACUUUGAGCACCUGGCAGGGCGCUUGCUUCAUCUCCCCAAGCAAAGCCUGCGAGCCUUUGUAUCCUGGAGACUUCAA
This 765-nucleotide long non-coding RNA is filed under the name Rattus norvegicus (Norway rat). RNAcentral's name for it is "long non-coding RNA NONRATT006916". Lineage: Eukaryota; Metazoa; Chordata; Mammalia; Rodentia; Muridae. The record is from RNAcentral.